CAGUCGCCACGGUAAAACGUAGGUGGCAAGCGUUGUCCGGAAUUAUUGGGCGUAAAGCGCGCGCAGGUGGUUUAAUAAGUCUGAUGUGAAAGCCCACGGCUCAACCGUGGAGGGUCAUUGGAAACUGUUAAACUUGAGUGCAGGAGAGAAAAGUGGAAUUCCUAGUGUAGCGGUGAAAUGCGUAGAGAUUAGGAGGAACACCAGUGGCGAAGGCGGCUUUUUGGCCUGUAACUGACACUGAGGCGCGAAAGCGUGGGCAGCAAACAGGAUUAGAUACCCCGGUAGUCCCUGUCUCUUAUAC
RNAcentral lists this ribosomal RNA (301 nucleotides) under uncultured bacterium. RNAcentral describes it as "partial 16S ribosomal RNA". It matches the Rfam family "Bacterial small subunit ribosomal RNA", at positions 509 to 807 of the family's 1533-position model. The record is from RNAcentral.